This 562-nucleotide long non-coding RNA is filed under the name Fukomys damarensis (Damara mole-rat). RNAcentral's name for it is "lncRNA (ENSFDAG00000023713.1)". Lineage: Eukaryota; Metazoa; Chordata; Mammalia; Rodentia; Bathyergidae. The record is from RNAcentral.
UGGGCAGGGCAGCAGAGCAGGAAGGUUCGAGGUCACUAUCUGAUAGCACAGAAUUUCUCUGUGACCACACAAAAGAUGUUAAGGCAAUGCAUGGUGAUAAUGCCUGCAAAGCAUUAUUGUACUUUACAGUACUGAACUAGACACUUAAACUUUCUCUAACAAUUACAUGUUAUAUAAAUUUGCCAUUGCAAAAUAAUGUGGGAAAUGGAGGUCAUAAUAAGACCUAUUAAAACAACUGUGAGAAAGGAAUGAGGUCAUAUGUGUGAAGCACUUAGCGCAAAGUCUGAGCGUACACUCUGUGCACAGAAUACCUGCCAUCUUUAUCCACUGACAAGAAGUCAGAAUCCUACGCUAUUGGAUGAAGAAUGAUUUUCUUCUAAUCAAGAACAAGUACCUUUUCACAAAUUCAACUAAGAUUGCAGGAUGCAGAGAUGCAGACAACGCAGACAACUGUGGCCAUUCCUUCAAGGACUUCAGCACACAGCCCAUGCUUGCCACACAACUGAUGAUCCUGCUUUUUGUACAGACAAGGAAAAUAAAUGAAGAUGCGAAACCCCACUAA